AUGUACUUUGCGAUCCCCUCACGGAGGGUGAUGAUCUCCUCCUUGGAGAGGUCCUUGGUGACCUUAUUUUCCAAAUUGAGCUCUGAAAGGAUGUGACGGGCGCGUGCCCGUCCAAUGCCAUGGAUGGACUGCAGUGCGCACUCCACCCUCUUGUGGUUAGGUAUCACAACACCACCAACACGAAUGGAAUCAAUGAACCCACCGUGGCCGAAACCUCCGUACUGUCAAGUCAACGAUAAAAACAAGAAUGGAGUUAGCAGCCAGCAUACAUCUGUCGGUACCAAUCUUGUUACAACACAAAAAUGGCAUUUGUUGCUAGUAAGAGAGCAAGCAUGUAAGCAUUUGUUGGCUGAGAGGAUUCGUUGCUGGUUAGAGAAGCACUCAUUUCUGGUAAGCAGAUGUUGCCAAGUAAAGGAAGAAAGGGCAGGUGUUGCCCGGACACAUAUCUGGUGUGUCUCUACUCUGUUUUCUAUGUUUGUCUCUCUGCUCUUUGCGAAGCCUGGAAACAGUGGAAGCGAGAGAUUGAGAGAGGGCUGUCGCCAAGGAGAGGGCUACAUAUAA
RNAcentral lists this ribosomal RNA (561 nucleotides) under Triticum aestivum (bread wheat). RNAcentral's name for it is "partial small subunit ribosomal RNA". Lineage: Eukaryota; Viridiplantae; Streptophyta; Magnoliopsida; Poales; Poaceae. The record is from RNAcentral.